RNAcentral lists this long non-coding RNA (510 nucleotides) under Setaria viridis. RNAcentral describes it as "long non-coding RNA (SVIR_LNC007702)". The record is from RNAcentral. Lineage: Eukaryota; Viridiplantae; Streptophyta; Magnoliopsida; Poales; Poaceae.
AAAGGGCUCAACAUCGGCUCAGGCAAUUGAUCCGCCAGUAGCAACGUCAGCCCAGGAGACUGAUCCGACGGCAACAGCGGCACCUCGAACGGCCGUUUUGACGGAAGUAGCAUCGGUGGUAGCAUCACUCUGGAUAGAGGCUAUCCAGGUAAUCUCAUUGCUUUCAAACUCAUUAUAUACCUUACCGAUGCUAACUUUGCUUCUUUCAAUCAUCUACACAAUCCGCACAGGAGCAACCUGUACCCGCAUCAGCCGAUCCCCAUGCCGAGGACAUUCUAGAGACCACACCUAUCACAACUCCACCAACCGAGGUAACCAAGUAUGUUUUGCUUUAAUCUUCGUAACCUUCAUUGUUGAAUUCUGCCGAUCCUCUAUAUAGGCUAACCCAGAUGCAUCAAGCGACCUUCCUGAACCAUCAAUUUGAUUGGCUUCAGAGGUAAAAGAUCAUCUGCCAUUCUUUUAGCUCAAUCCACUUUAUUUUAUCGAAAACACCCUUUUUUUAGGAAAUCG